Molecule: ribosomal RNA, 440 nt
Filed under: uncultured bacterium
Lineage: Bacteria
Description: partial 16S ribosomal RNA
Rfam family: Bacterial small subunit ribosomal RNA
Source: RNAcentral
CCUACGGGAGGCAGCAGUGGGGAAUAUUGCACAAUGGGGGAAAGCCUGAUGCAGCAACGCCGCGUGAGUGAUGACGGCCUUCGGGUUGUAAAGCUCUGUCUUCAGGGACGAUAGUGCCGGUACCUGAGGAGGAAGCCAUUGCUAACUACGUGCCAGCAGCCACGGUCAUACGGAGGUGGCGAGCGUUGUCCGGAUUUACUGGGCGUAAGGGUAGCGUAGGCGGAAUAUUAAGUGAGAUGUGAAAUACUCGGGCUCAACUUGAGUGCUGCAUUUCAAACUGGAAGUCUAGAGUGCAGGAGAGGAGAAUGGAAUUCCUAGUGUAGCGGUGAAAUGCGUAGAGAUUAGGAAGAACACCAGUGGCGAAGGCGAUUCUCUGGACUGUAACUGACGCUGAGGCUCGAAAGCGUGGGGAGCAAACAGGAUUAGAUACCCGAGUAGUC